This 1051-nucleotide long non-coding RNA is filed under the name Hordeum vulgare. Its description in RNAcentral is "long non-coding RNA (HVUL_LNC000630)". The record is from RNAcentral. Lineage: Eukaryota; Viridiplantae; Streptophyta; Magnoliopsida; Poales; Poaceae.
AUAAUAAUUCAUAAGAGACUCAAAUAAUAUUCAUGGAUAAUCUGAACAUAAACUCACAAUUCAUCGGAUCUCGACAAAUACACCGCAAGAGAGUAUUACAUCGCAUAGAUCUCCAUGAAGAUCAUGAAGAACAUGGUAUUGAAGAUCAAAAAGAGAGAAGAAGCCAUCUAGAUACUAGCUAUGGACCCGUAGGUCUAUGGUGAACUACUCACACAUCAUCGGAGGGGUAAUGGAGUUGAUGUAGAUGCCCUCCAUGAUCAAUUCCCUCUCGAGCAGAUUACCGGAAGAGGCUCCCAGAUUGGAUCUCUCGGGAACAGAGGCUCCCCGCGGCGUAAAAGUAUUUCUGUUGCUCGUUUUGGCGAUAUGAGAAUAUUUAGGAAUUUAUAGCCCAAGAAUCAGGGUUAGGAGACCUGCAGGGGUCCCACAAGCCAGGGGGCGCGGCCACCCCCCUAGGGCGCGCCCUACAGGUUUGUGGCCUCCCGACAACUUCCUUGCCCCUACUCCAAGCCUAUUGCGUGUCUUCUGGUCCAAGAAAAAUAUUUCCGUAGAUUUUAUUCCAUUUGGACUCUGUUUAAUAUUCCUUAUCUGCAAUACUCAAAAAUGUGGAAAAACAGAAACUGGCACUAGGCUCUGCAUUAAUAGGUUAGUCCCAAAAAUAAUAUAAAACAACAUAUAAAUGCAUAUAAAACAUCCCAAACAGAUAAUAUAAUAGCAUGGAACAUUAAAAAAUUAUAAAUACAUUGGAGACGUAUCAAGCAUCCCUAAGCUUAAUUCGUGCUCGUCCUCGAGUAGGUAAAUGCUAAAAACAGAAUUUUGAUGUGGAAUGCUACCUAACAUAUUUAUCCAUGUAAUAUUCUCUAUUGUGGCAUCAAUAUUCAGAUCCAUAAAACUUAAAGAAAAAGUCUAUAUUGACAUAAAAACAAUAAUACUUUAAGCAUACUAAUAAGGUAAUUGCUUCCUUUCAAAAUAGCAUGGUCUUAGAAAGUUAUCCCUACAAAAUCAUAUGGUCUGGCUAUGCUCCAUCUUCACCACACAAAGUAUCUAAAUCAUG